UACGGAGGGGGCUAGCGUUGUUCGGAAUUACUGGGCGUAAAGCGCACGUAGGCGGCUUUGCAAGUUAGAGGUGAAAGCCCGGGGCUCAACCCCGGAAUUGCCUUUAAAACUGCAUCGCUAGAAUUGUGGAGAGGUAAGUGGAAUUCCGAGUGUAGAGGUGAAAUUCGUAGAUAUUCGCAAGAACACCAGUGGCGAAGGCGGCUCACUGGCCCGGUACUGACGCUGAGGUGCGAAAGCGUGGGGAGCAAACAGG
This 253-nucleotide ribosomal RNA is filed under the name uncultured bacterium. Its description in RNAcentral is "partial 16S ribosomal RNA". It matches the Rfam family "Bacterial small subunit ribosomal RNA", at positions 524 to 776 of the family's 1533-position model. The record is from RNAcentral.